CUUUAUUCAAUAUUAUUUCCUUUUUUGUGAAUAAUUGAUUUUGGUCUAUUCAAAAUAAUAUCUUAAGUUAAAAGUUGAAGUUUGAAAGACUUACGUAUGACCAAAAUUUAGAUUUUUUUUAGCCAUGUACUCGUAUCCUAUAUUUUAGAAAAUAAAAGAUCCGACACUUAGAUAUAUAUCCAUACCUGAUACCCAUGUCCAAGUCCGAGCAUCAUAGCUUUAAAGCUUUGUCAAGUUAAGCUAAGCACACACAUGCUUGAGUGAUGACACAUCUUAUCAUGUUCCCAUGUGAGACUGCAAUCAUAAGUGGUUGGCAUAGAAAACUGCAUCUUUUGGUUAAGCAUGAAUAAAGAGAUAGGUUGGUAGUCAAUCUGCUUAAAAUUGUGACUUGUUUCAUGACUAGGACCUGUGGAAUCGACGUUUAAGUAUGGAUAAAGAUCUGCUUUGCUCAUACAUGCUUGAGUGGUGUAACUUAUCAUUUAAAUGAGACUGCAAAAGUAUGUAGUUGGCUGAGAAAACUUGCAUCUUAUGAGCAAGUUUUGAAAGGUUUCGAGUUUUUUGAAAAUUGCAGUAACUUCCCUAAAAAUGAUGAAAAGAAGGCCAUAAAGGUUGAGACGUGUGUUGACUACAGAGAUAGAUUCGUUCAUACACACCAUUCAAGAAUUGGCAACCAAUAAUAGGAUCACUUUUGCUUUGAAAAAUCGAACUUGAGCACAUUUGAGUUGUGCUUAAAACUAUGUCAGACUUGCUUUGAAGUAACUUAUUUUUGCCAAAAAUGAUUUUCAAAUUUAGUAUUUUUAACUGAAAUUGCUUUUAUAGAAAGUAAGUCUUUUAAGCGCAAUCAAACAUGAUUUAGGUGUUGUGUCGAACACUGGCUUGGCAUGCUAACUGUAGUCGUGCAUAGAUGCAAGUGAAAUGGUCAUGACAUUAUUUUAUUUGCUGCUUUUUCCUUUUUAACAGUGAUUUGAGAAUGCCAGUGUACAAAUGUGCAUAUCUAUUAGACAUCCAGUGAAGUAACGGUAGUAUAAUCUAUCGUUCUUGAUCAUUUGAGGUUGGUUUUCUUGUUCCAUUUUAUCUUGCUUCCUUCAAGAUGUUAUUCUUCAUCAUUCUCCAUAUGGUCCUAUAAAAAAUGUCCUUUUUCAUGCUGUAUAUAUGAUGUUGUCCUGCCCUGCCCUGCCCAUCUUCGUGCUGUAUAUCCUUGAUUUUCUUGGUAGUGUGUCUAAAAAAGCCAUAGAAUCCUCGCUUUUUCUGCAUUCAGACGACGUGUUAGUUUGAUUUUCCCAUAUAACUUGGUGGUUCUCUUGUAUGCAGUUUGAUAAGAUUUGACCCCAUAAGCAGACCGACACGUAGAUUACAGCUGCUUUAAUUGGAUUCAAACUUUUAGGCUUGGUAUACAGUUAAUAAAUUGUAUGGAUGAACUUGUGUAGUUCAUAUGGUGGGCAAUGGUUUUCCAGGUUUUUUCAUACCUAGUGUGUACUGGCG
RNAcentral lists this long non-coding RNA (1482 nucleotides) under Olea europaea subsp. europaea. Lineage: Eukaryota; Viridiplantae; Streptophyta; Magnoliopsida; Lamiales; Oleaceae. The record is from RNAcentral.